Molecule: ribosomal RNA, 270 nt
Filed under: uncultured archaeon
Lineage: Archaea
Description: partial 16S ribosomal RNA
Rfam family: Bacterial small subunit ribosomal RNA
Source: RNAcentral
CGAGGGUGCAAGCGUUAAUCGGAAUUACUGGGCGUAAAGCGAGUGUAGGCGGCUACGUAAGUCGGAUGUGAAAGCCCUGGGCUCAACCUGGGAAUUGCAUUCGAUACUGCGUAGCUAGAGUUUGAUAGAGGUAAGUGGAAUUCCGGGUGUAGCGGUGAAAUGCGUAGAUAUCCGGAGGAACAUCAGUGGCGAAGGCGGCUUACUGGAUCAAAACUGACGCUGAGGCUCGAAAGCGUGGGGAGCAAACAGGAUUAGAUACCCGAGUAGUCC